Molecule: long non-coding RNA, 490 nt
Organism: Sycon ciliatum
Lineage: Eukaryota; Metazoa; Porifera; Calcarea; Leucosolenida; Sycettidae
Exons: 4
Source: RefSeq, a predicted model, not a curated record
CUGAAAACAGCCCAAAUGAGGUUCACGUGUCACUGUGGCGUUCGCCUUACAGGGGUAGUACCCCUGUUUCAACACCUGAGGCGGUGCGUCAAGCGCCGCCUCUUUCUAAUCAUAUAUUGCGAUAAAUGUGGAGAAAGGCUGGUGGGAGGCCAGGCCGUGGCCGCACACCUGGCGGGUGCGGCCCAUCGGGCCCGUUACUGGGAGGGCCGGCAAGUCGGGCUGCUGUUGCAGUCCGACUACCGGGACGCCAUGGAGCGUAUCCGGACCCUAUGACGUAUGUAUGAAGGUCUGGAGCUAGCUGCCGUCUUCGGGAUGUGCCAUUUGUUUUCAAAAUUAUUUACUCAUCCAAGUCAAUUAUUUAAAUAAAAGUGUAUUAUAGUAAACAGUAUUGUGUUUUGUUAUGGUGAAUAUGUGGGGAAUGGUGGACAUGCCUUAGUGUGACUGGAUACCCGCGGGUUGUGACUCUUUGCUGGCCACUCUGGAUUCUCCA